UAUACACCUUGUACUUUACGUGUAACGUUUACACCUGAUCGUUUUUUCUGAUCGAAAAACCUUACCAUUAACCUAAUUCUGAUUUUUAAUGUUUAUGCGGGGACAUACAUGAACAUAAAGAGAAAACAAAGACAUUUUGAGAAGUUGUCUAGAAACUGAACGUUUUGAUCAAAGCAAAUCUUCAGCUGUGGAGCAGAAAGACACUUCCUUAUUCAUAGUCAGUGCUGAAGAUCAAACUGUUCAGAUCCAUCAUGAAUGAAACACAAACAUCUGGAGAUGAAGAGUAUUCUCCAGCCUGCAGCUCAGUUCAUCAGAAGAGAUCAGAAGCAGUGCCCAGCUGUGUGUCUAUGAAGAGUGACUGGUCUAUGGAUCGGCUACCAGAGUUUAAGAGUGAAGAUUCCCAGCCUGGAU
Molecule: long non-coding RNA, 411 nt
Organism: Puntigrus tetrazona (Sumatra barb)
Lineage: Eukaryota; Metazoa; Chordata; Actinopteri; Cypriniformes; Cyprinidae
Exons: 3
Source: RefSeq, a predicted model, not a curated record